Meriones unguiculatus (Mongolian gerbil) is the source of this 1282-nucleotide long non-coding RNA. The record is from Ensembl. Lineage: Eukaryota; Metazoa; Chordata; Mammalia; Rodentia; Muridae.
UGCUCUCCGGCUGGAUCACCGCUCUCCUGACUCUGACUCUCAUACCUCAGUCUGCAGUCACCUAUGGCAGCCUCUCUCUCAGCACUGUCAGGCUGCCGGGCCGCGCCCUUCCGCAGACCUUCAUCCUCAUCCAAGCUGCGUGUGUGACUCCGGCACCCAUCAGCCUGGCUUGUCCUCUUACAGCCACAGUUCGUCUCUUAGAGCUUUCUUCGGGACCUCUGGCUGCAAGGCCUUUUCCCCUCCAGGGAGAUGGAUCCUAACAGACCUUCCCGGAGAGCCUCUCCCCGCAGGGCAGACAUCUACCAGCAAGCGCUACAGUGAGGCAGAGACAAGACCAGCUGCACCAAAGGUGGAGAAAAAAAGCAAGAAAAAGAAAUUCCACAGAAGCCCAGAGGGAAGGAUAGGAUUUUCUUCCUGCCCAGCAGCUAGUUGGAGAGAGUUGGAGCUGUCCCUGGAACGGCUGUUGAUGCUGCAUGCAGUAGUGGCUUUUCAUAGUUUCCACCAACAGGACACCUUGACAGAGUCACCGGGGAGGUAAAGAUGGGCAGAUCCCUGUGGGCCCGUGGCCAGCCAUCUGCAUAGGCCCCUUGGCAAAUUCCAGGCCAGUGAAAGACACUGUCUAAAAAACAAAAAGCAAACUCACCAGGUGGAUUACAUAGAUACGCACGCAUGCACGCACGCACGCACGCACGCACACACACACACACACACACAUGCAUGCACACCAAUAUAUCAGUUUGAUGAACAGUUUCCUUUCAAUGUUCUUUACUGUUGCCCUUGAUCUGACUAAAGUCUCCUUAUUAGUUUGUUUACAUUUGAUUGCUCCUUUCUUUCCAUUUUUAUUGAGAACUCCUUUCCACAAACUCUCACUCCGCUAGAAACAGGAGCUAUUUUAAAAAUUAGGUUAGGAGUUUUUCCUCUUUCUUUACAUCUUUAAAGAAUGGAUAAAGAAGUAGGUCGCGGCCUACUUCUAGAAAAGGCCUCACUGAGGGACACACAAGAGGGGCAGCAGCGAAACGUCCUCUCUCUAUCCUGAUAGAUGGCACUAGCAAAGCCAAAACUGUAUGUGUGUGACUUCUCUCUUGUCAGGAGGAAGGUGUGGGUUUGUAUAUUUCAGGACUACAGAGACGCCCAUAACAAAGAAAGGCAGGGUUCUUAGAAAAAGAGAGCAAACUGGAUUAUGAAUGGCCAAAAAGAGAGGAAAAGAACCAUCUUUUGGUGAUCAGGAACAGGACUGAAACAUUCCAAUAAAGAGGUCUGGAGUUUGUGAUGGAGCCCGGAG